CCAUCGGUGGUUCAGUGGUAGAAUGCUCGCCUUCCACACACGGACGGCCCAGGUUCGAUUCCCGGCCGAUGCA
This 73-nucleotide transfer RNA is filed under the name Cordylochernes scorpioides. Its description in RNAcentral is "tRNA-Gly". It matches the Rfam family "tRNA". Rfam says of the family: Transfer RNA (tRNA) molecules are approximately 80 nucleotides in length. The record is from RNAcentral. Lineage: Eukaryota; Metazoa; Arthropoda; Arachnida; Pseudoscorpiones; Chernetidae.